UUUGAUCUUCUAAAAAAUGGAAAAUGAACCAUUGCAUAUCUUUCAUAUUUUUCAGUCAUACACGUUAUGCUUGAUAUGUUCUUUUGAAAAUAAUGCCAAAUCUGAUAAAGAUACUUCUAUCUUUGGAUAUCAUUCAUCAAGCAAUGCAUAUAGAAUAUUCAAUGAAAAGAUCCUAGUUGUAGAAAUAUCAAUUCAUUUUAUUCUUUAUGAGACUAAUGA
Molecule: long non-coding RNA, 219 nt
Filed under: Phoenix dactylifera (date palm)
Lineage: Eukaryota; Viridiplantae; Streptophyta; Magnoliopsida; Arecales; Arecaceae
Description: long non-coding RNA (PDAC_LNC021689)
Source: RNAcentral